RNAcentral lists this ribosomal RNA (254 nucleotides) under uncultured bacterium. RNAcentral's name for it is "partial 16S ribosomal RNA". It matches the Rfam family "Bacterial small subunit ribosomal RNA", at positions 524 to 776 of the family's 1533-position model. The record is from RNAcentral.
GACGAACCGUGCGAACGUUAUUCGGAAUCACUGGGCUUAAAGCGCGUGUAGGCGGGCCGCCGCGUCGGUUGCUGAAAUCCCCCGGCUCAACCGGGGAACGGGCAGCGAUACGGGCAGCCUGGAGGGGGGUAGGGGGGGCCGGAACUCACGGUGGAGCGGUGAAAUGCGUUGAGAUCGUGAGGAACGCCCGUGGCGAAAGCGGGCCCCUGGACCUUUACUGACGCUGAGACGCGAAAGCUAGGGGAGCGAACGGG